Molecule: ribosomal RNA, 280 nt
Filed under: uncultured bacterium
Lineage: Bacteria
Description: partial 16S ribosomal RNA
Rfam family: Bacterial small subunit ribosomal RNA
Source: RNAcentral
CCUACGGGGGGCAGCAGUCGAGAAUUUUUCACAAUGGGGGAAACCCUGAUGGAGCGACGCCGCGUGGGGGAUGAAGGGCUUCGGUUCGUAAACCCCUGUCAUUGGCGAACAAGUGUUGCGUCCUAAUACGGCGCAACUUGAUAGUAGCCGAAGAGGAAGGGACGGCUAACUCUGUGCCAGCAGCCGCGGUAAUACAGAGGUCCCGAGCGUUGUUCGGAUUCACUGGGCGUAAAGGGUGCGUAGGUGGUUGGUUAAGUUUGAGGUGAAAGCUCCGAGCUCA